AACGAACGCUGGCGGCGUGGCUAAGACAUGCAAGUCGUACGAUAUGUUGUAGCAAUAUGACAUAUAGUGGCGGACGGGUGAGUAAUGAAUAGGUAACGUACCCCGGGCACAGGGAUAACGUCGGGCGAAAGCCCUUUGCGAAAGUGACGGUAAUACCUGGUGACGUCUUCGAGUGGCAUCACUUGAAGAUCAUACGGUGGGGACCUUCGGCCUAUUGGCCUGGGAGCGGCCUAUCCUUAUCAGCUAGUUGGUGAGGUAACGGCUCACCAAGGCAACGACGGGUAGCCGGACUGAGAGGUUGUUCGGCCACAUCGGGACUGAGACACUGCCCGGACAUCUACGGAUGGCUGCAGUAACGAAUAAUCCGCAAAUGGGCGAAAGCCUGACGGUGCGACGCCGCGUGGAGGAUGAAUUCCUUCGGGAUGUAAACGUCCUUUUAGGGUAGAUGAAAGUGAAGACGCGCUAAUACCGCGCCAGCUGAUCUAUCCC
Molecule: ribosomal RNA, 489 nt
Filed under: uncultured bacterium
Lineage: Bacteria
Description: bacterial SSU rRNA
Rfam family: Bacterial small subunit ribosomal RNA
Source: RNAcentral